This is a long non-coding RNA of Gasterosteus aculeatus aculeatus (three-spined stickleback), 1719 nucleotides long. The record is from Ensembl. Lineage: Eukaryota; Metazoa; Chordata; Actinopteri; Perciformes; Gasterosteidae.
GGACCACUGCAGGGGCAACCACCAUCAGAUAGAACCACCACCAGGUUGGGUGGUUAUUAAUUGAGUUGUCUUCCAUGAGCAAGGUACGGACAUUUUUGGUUCCCACAGAGUUUUAAGUUGAAGAAAAAUUGAAGUAAAAUUGGAACGAUCCAAUUGUACAAUCCAAAAUUAAUACGACACUUGUAUUUAACCUUUGCUCUUUCAUCUAAUUUUCCAUUUACUUCCACCAUGACUGGAAACACUCAGAGUGCUAAUUAAAAGCAAAACCACUUAAGGUCCUUGAUUCAUGUACCAAAGAAAAUGAGUCAUCAUUGCAUUUAGUUAUAGGGGGUGACUCAUAAGUGCAUUGCUGAGCACAUCUGUGACCAUCACAAAGACCACAGCUCUGUAAAGGGCUGUUGAAACAUCUAUUUACUAAUCCAUCACUCAGUCACGCUCAAAAAGAAAACUUCCUUAACUUUGACAUCCUGUGGAUGUUUAAAAAAGGCGCACACACACACACACUGCGGGAGGUAGGACUCAGACGCAGAGUUCAAAAACAAAAGGGACUUUUAAUAGUCAAAAGCAAAAUCAAAAGGCCAAGGGGCAAAAACACACAGGAACCAGGGGGAAAAACAGCAGGCAGGAAACUAUGAAAAUCCACGACGAUAGACAAGGACAUGCGUGGCCAAAGACAAUGACGCGACAACCGACACACAUGGCUUAAAUACACUAGGGAGGUGCAAGUGAUUGGACACAGGUGGAAACUAUUAGACGCUCACAGGGGAUGACAUGACAAGGCAGGAAGUGAAGUUACCCGGGGACACGAGUGGCAGAAAACUACAAAAUAUAACAUGAAGUGAACCACACCGUGACAGUACCCCCCCCCCCCCCCUCAAGGGCCAAAUUCCAGACGGCUCACAUCAGAGACGUUGGUCGGACCACCCGGGAAACUCUGGCGGGCGGCCCGGCGGGCGGCCAGACGAGCGGGGAGCCUCUGGGGGUCGGCCCGGCGGACGGUCACCAGGCCGGCUCCGGAGCGCCGACCUGCAGGGCAGGGAACGUCUCUGGAAUGGGUGGCUCGGAGACACGGGAAACCUCCGGGGUCCUCGGUGGCUCGGGGGCCCGGAACACGGGCGCGGUCGUCGAUGGCGGCUCGGGGGCACGGAACACGGGCGCGGUCGUCGGUGGCGGCUCCGGGGCACGGAAACACGGGGCGCGGUCGUCGGUGGCAGCUCGCGGGCACGGAACACGGGCGCGGUCGUCGGUGGCGGCUCGGGGACACUGAAUACGUCCGCAGUAGUCUGCGGCGGUGGCGGCUCGGGGACACUGAACACGUCCGCAGUAGUCUGCGGCGGCUCCAGCUCGGGGACACGGAACACGUCCGGGGUCGUCGGUAGCUCGGGGGCACGGAACACCGGCGCGGUCGGCUCCAGCUCGGGGACACGGAACACCUCCGCGGUCGGCUCCAGCUCGGGGACACGGAACACCUCCGCGUCGGCUCCAGCUCGGGGACACGGAACACGUCCGCAGUAGUCGGCGGCGGCUCCAGCUCGGGGACACGGAACACCUCCGCAGUAGUCGGCGGCGGCUCGGGGACACUGAACACCACCGCGGCCGUCGCCGGCUCGGGGACACGGAACACCACCGCGGUUGUCGGCGUGAGGAUGCAGGAAGCCGGAGUUGCCAGCUGGAGGGAGCGGGAAGCCCCCGGAGUCGCUGUUGCACACAGGGGAUGAC